UAAGAGCACAUGGCGGAUGUCUUGGCGUCAAGAGGCGAUGAAGGACGUGGGAACCUGCGAAAAGUUCAGGGGAGCCGGUAACCAGGCUGUGAUCCUGAAAUGUCCGAAUGGGGAAACCCGGCCGUAAGGUCACUCUUACCUGAAUGCAUAGGGUAAGAGAGCGAACCUGGGGAACUGAAACAUCUAAGUACCCAGAGGAAAGGAAAUCAACCGAGACUCCGUGAGUAGCGGCGAGCGAAAGCGGAUUGCGACUUAAGUCAGUGAACGCGUUGGAAAGCGCGGCCAAAGAAGGUGAUAGCCCUGUAGUUGGAUGAUGUCGCUCAGCCCUAGAGUAGCGUCGGUGUCGUGAAACCCGGCGUGAACAUGGGGGGUCCACCCUCCAAGGCUAAGUACUACUUGACGACCGAUAGUUAACCAGUAAGGCGACUGAAUGAUGAAAACUACCCCUGCUAGGGGUGUGAAAGAGUAGCUGAAACCAUGUGCUUACACAGCGGUCAGAGCCCUUCGGGGUGAUGGCGUGCCUUUUGCAUAAUGACCCGGCGAGUUACUCUCAUUGGCGAGGUUAAGGCCUAGCGGGCCGAAGCCGAAGCGAAAGCGAGUCUGAAAUAGGCGUUGAGUCGAUGGGAGUAGACGCGAAACCUUGUGAUCUACCCAUGGGCAGGCUGAAGGCCGGGUAAAACCGGCUGGAGGGCCGAACGCACCAACGUUGAAAAGUUGGGCGAUGACCUGUGGGGAGGACUAAAAGUGUAAUCAAACUGGGAGAUAGCUCGUUCUCUCCGAAAUAUUUUUAGGAAUAGCCUCUUGCGGCAACUGUUGGGGGUAGAGCCACUGGAUACGGCUGGGGCCCUCGGGUACCCACUGUAACCAAACUCCGAAUACCAACAGCCAAGGCAAGGGAGUCAGCCCACGAGUGACAAUAUCCGUGGACAAAAGGGAAACAUCCCAGACCGCCAGCUAAGGUCCCUGAACAUUGCUUAGUUCUAAAGGAAGUCGAAGCGCAAAGACAGCCAGGAUGUUGGCUUAGAAGCAGCCACCAUUUAAAGAGUGCGUAAUAGCUCACUGGUCGAGGGUUUCGGCGCCGAUAAUGAUCGGGAAUAAGCAAUGUACCGAAGCUGCGGGCUGCGUAAGCAGCGGUAGGAGAGCGUUCCUGUCAGCAGAGAAGGCGUCCCGAAAGGGUCGCUGGAGCGUCAGGAAGUGAAUAUGCCGGGUUGAGUAACGAUAAAGCAGGUGAAAAUCCUGCUCGCCGAAAAUCUAAGGUUUCCUGGGGAAGGUAAAUCCGCCCAGGGUCAGCCGGGACCUAAGGUGAGGCCGAAAGGCGUAGCCGAUGGACGGCAGGUUAAUAUUCCUGCGCUACUGUGGAGAUCAAUCAUGAGUGCGGAUCGGUCAGCCCUGCGUAAGCACCAGCUUGCUGAGGCCCUUGAGGCCGCUGCAGGGGGCUCUGGUCCCGAGAAAAGCUCAUGUGGCAAAGCAGUACCCGUACCAAAACCGACACAGGUAGAUGAGGUGAAUAACCUAAGGCGCUCGAGAUAACGGAAGUGAAGGAAUUAGGCAAAUUGACCCCGUAAGUUCGCGAUAAGGGGGCCCUACCCCUCGGGGAGGGCGCAGAGAAAAGGCUCUGGCGACUGUUUAUCAAAAACACAGCACUGUGCUAACUCGCAAGAGGACGUAUACAGUGUGACGCCUGCCCAAUGCCGGAAUGUCACGGAAGCGGGUUAGCUUCGGCGAAGCUCGUAACCUAAGCACCGGUCAAUGGCGGCCGUAACUAUGACGGUCCUAAGGUAGCGAAGUUCCUUGUCGGGUAAGUUCCGACGCGCAUGAAUGGCGUAACGACUGGAGCACUGUCUCCACUUCCGACUCGGUGAAAUAGUAGUGGCGGUGAAGAUGCCGCCUACCCGCGACAAGACGGAAAGACCCCAUGAACCUUUACUAUAGGCUUUUAUUGCACAUGAGUUUGUAUUGCGUAGGAUAGGUGGGAGGCUUUGAAGCGGCCGUUCUGGCGGUCGUGGAGCCAUCCUUGAAAUACCACCCUUUACCUAUUCGUGUGCUAACCCCGAUUCCCGUGAAGCCGGGCGGGGGACAGUGAGUGCUGGGUAGUUUGACUGGGGCGGUCUCCUCCGAAAGAGUAACGGAGGAGCGCAAAGGUUGGUUCAGCGCGGAUGGAAACCGCGUGUUGAGUGUAAGAGCACAAGCCAGCUUUACUGCGAGAGCGACGGCUCGAGCAGUCUCGAAAGAGGGCUCUAGUGAUCCUGCGAUCCCGUGUGGAAGGGUCGUAGCUCAUCGGAUAAAAGGUACUCUGGGGAUAACAGGCUGAUCGCUCCCGAGCGUCCAUAGCGGCGGAGCGGUUUGGCACCUCGAUGUCGGCUCAUCGCAUCCUGGGGCUGAAGGCGGUCCCAAGGGUUAGGCUGUUCGCCUAUUAAAGCGGUACGCGAGCUGGGUUCAGACCGGCGUGAGCCAGGUCGGUCCCUAUCUGUCGUGGGCGCUGCACAUUUGAGAGGAGUCUUCCUUAGUACGAGAGGAUUAGGAAGGACGAACCCCUGGUGAUCCAGCUGUCGCGCUAGCGGCACCGCUGGGUAGCUAAGUUCGGCAGGGAUAACCGCUGAAAGCAUCUAA
This 2610-nucleotide ribosomal RNA is filed under the name Prorocentrum minimum. RNAcentral describes it as "partial Bacterial large subunit ribosomal RNA". It matches the Rfam family "Bacterial large subunit ribosomal RNA". Lineage: Eukaryota; Dinophyceae; Prorocentrales; Prorocentraceae. The record is from RNAcentral.